GCCCACCCACCCACCUCCUUCAGCUGUGCGCUUCGGCUGCACGCUGUCGGAAAACUUCACACACCUGUGCACACAUUCGGUGGCGGGGUAACACCCGCGACCGCUUUACAUAUAUCUACGAUAAGUCCAGAAUGUAAUAAAACUAUAUAAUAACAACUUUCAACAACGGAUCUCUUGGCUCUCGCAUCGAUGAAGAACGCAGCGAAAUGCGAUAAGUAAUGUGAAUUGCAGAAUUCAGUGAAUCAUCGAAUCUUUGAACGCAUCUUGCGCUCCAUGGUAUUCCGUGGAGCAUGCCUGUUCGAGUGUCACGUCAAUCAUCACCCUCGCGACGUUAAAAUUGCCCGUGGUGGACUUGGACCGUGCCGUAGUUGGCUCGUCCUGAAAUGCAUUAGCUUGCGCUUUUAGAGUGCUGGGCACCGGUGUGAUAAUUAUCUGCGCCAACGCCUUUAAGCCUCUUCAGCGGCGCUGCUUACAGCCGUCCGUAAUGGACAAUUACACUCAAAGCUUUGGCCUCGAAUCAGGUAGGACUACCCGCUGAACUUAAGCAUAUCAAUAAGCGGAGGA
This 564-nucleotide ribosomal RNA is filed under the name uncultured fungus. RNAcentral describes it as "eukaryotic LSU rRNA". The stretch from base 155 to 308 matches the Rfam family "5.8S ribosomal RNA". Lineage: Eukaryota; Fungi. The record is from RNAcentral.